This 308-nucleotide long non-coding RNA is filed under the name Mustela putorius furo (domestic ferret). RNAcentral's name for it is "lncRNA (ENSMPUG00000029855.1)". The record is from RNAcentral. Lineage: Eukaryota; Metazoa; Chordata; Mammalia; Carnivora; Mustelidae.
UCUUUUGUAAUUCUCAUGAAAGGCUUUAUUUCUUGAUCUCUCUCACAUAGGACUUUUCGGAAGACUGGCCUGCUCAUGAGAAGCAAGUGGCUGAUGUGAACAAUUCUAGCACAUUCCAGAAGGUUUACUGAGAUCCUGGAUGUCUAGACCUAUGGGAUUUUGAACAUCCCUUGAUGAUGGCCCUGGCAAUGACUCCUUUGUUCUGAAGCUUUUGGGAAAUGCCGAGUAUGUCUAAGAGCCCAUGCAAAGGAAAAGGAAGCUUGUCAGUUGAACACUUGAGGACAUCUGACUCCAAAGGAAACAGGUAA